CCGCCCGGCGCCUCCAUCGCUGCCGCCGAGACCGAAAGCUGAAAACACUGGACCCAUCUGUGUUUCUGUUGGAGGUCACUUGCUGAUUUAUCUCCAAUUCACAGCUCAUUAGGAGGUUUGCAACUAUCCAGGGAUGUUAUUUAACAG
Molecule: long non-coding RNA, 147 nt
Organism: Calypte anna (Anna's hummingbird)
Lineage: Eukaryota; Metazoa; Chordata; Aves; Apodiformes; Trochilidae
Exons: 3
Source: RefSeq, a predicted model, not a curated record